RNAcentral lists this ribosomal RNA (478 nucleotides) under Salmonella enterica subsp. enterica serovar Newport. RNAcentral describes it as "partial 23S ribosomal RNA". It matches the Rfam family "Bacterial large subunit ribosomal RNA", at positions 911 to 1304 of the family's 2925-position model. The record is from RNAcentral. Lineage: Bacteria; Pseudomonadati; Pseudomonadota; Gammaproteobacteria; Enterobacterales; Enterobacteriaceae.
UGUUUCGGCUAGGGGGCCAUCCCGGCUUACCAACCCGAUGCAAACUGCGAAUACCGGAGAAUGUUAUCACGGGAGACACACGGCGGGUGCUAACGUCCGUCGUGAAGAGGGAAACAACCCAGACCGCCAGCUAAGGUCCCAAAGUCAUGGUUAAGUGGGAAACGAUGUGGGAAGGCCCAGACAGCCAGGAUGUUGGCUUAGAAGCAGCCAUCAUUUAAAGAAAGCGUAAUAGCUCACUGGUCGAGUCGGCCUGCGCGGAAGAUGUAACGGGGCUAAACCAUGCACCGAAGCUGCGGCAGCGAACGUAUCACUUAAAGCGAUUCAGCGGGUUACGAUUGACGGAGCGAAGCGACGUCAAAGCGUAUACAAAGUCGAGUCGGUUUAAGGAUACGUUCGUUGGGUAGGGGAGCGUUCUGUAAGCCUGUGAAGGUGGCCUGUGAGGGUUGCUGGAGGUAUCAGAAGUGCGAAUGCUGACAUA